Molecule: ribosomal RNA, 529 nt
Filed under: uncultured haloarchaeon
Lineage: Archaea; Methanobacteriati; Methanobacteriota; Halobacteria; Halobacteriales; Halobacteriaceae
Description: bacterial SSU rRNA
Rfam family: Archaeal small subunit ribosomal RNA
Source: RNAcentral
AUUCCGGUUGAUCCUGCCGGAGGCCAUUGCUAUCGGAAUCCGAUUUAGCCAUGCUAGUCGCACGGGUUUAGACCCGUGGCGAACAGCUCAGUAACACGUGGCCAAACUGCCCUGUGGACGGGGAUAAUCUCGGGAAACUGAGGCUAAUCCCCGAUAGGGCUUCCAUCCUGGAGUGGAGGAAGUCCAAAAGUUGCGCUGCGGCACCACAGGAUGUGGCUGCGGCCGAUUAGGUAGACGGUGGGGUAACGGCCCACCGUGCCAGUAAUCGGUACGGGUGAUGAGAGUCAGAGCCCGGAGACGGUAUCUGAGACAAGAUUCCGGGCCCUACGGGGCGCAGCAGGCGCGAAACCUUUACACUGCACGGAAGUGCGAUAGGGGAAUCCCAAGUGCGAGGGCAUAUUAGCCCUCGCUUUUCUCGACUGUAAGGUGGUCGACGAAUAAGAGCUGGGCAAGACCGGUGCCAGCCGCCGCGGUAAUACCGGCAGCUCAAGUGAUGUCCCAUAUUAUUGGGCCUAAAGCGUCCGUCGCU